GAUGAACGCUGGCGGCGUGCCUAAUACAUGCAAGUCGAGCGAACAGACGGGGAGCUUACUCCUCUGACGUUAGCGGCGGACGGGUGAGUAACACGUGGAUAACCUACCUAUAAGACUGGGAUAACUUCGGGAAACCGGAGCUAAUACCGGAUAAUAUAUUGAACCGCAUGGUUCAAUAGUGAAAGACGGUUUUGCUGUCACUUAUAGAUGGAUCCGCGCCGCAUUAGCUAGUUGGUAAGGUAACGGCUUACCAAGGCAACGAUGCGUAGCCGACCUGAGAGGGUGAUCGGCCACACUGGAACUGAGACACGGUCCAGACUCCUACGGGAGGCAGCAGUAGGGAAUCUUCCGCAAUGGGCGAAAGCCUGACGGAGCAACGCCGCGUGAGUGAUGAAGGUCUUCGGAUCGUAAAACUCUGUUAUUAGGGAAGAACAAAUGUGUAAGUAACUAUGCACGUCUUGACGGUACCUAAUCAGAAAGCCACGGCUAACUACGUG
This 497-nucleotide ribosomal RNA is filed under the name uncultured bacterium. Its description in RNAcentral is "partial 16S ribosomal RNA". It matches the Rfam family "Bacterial small subunit ribosomal RNA", at positions 28 to 507 of the family's 1533-position model. The record is from RNAcentral.